UACGAAGGGGGCUAGCGUUGCUCGGAAUUACUGGGCGUAAAGGGCGCGUAGGCGGACAGUUAAGUCAGUGGUGAAAGCCCAGAGCUCAACUCUGGAAUUGCCUUUGAUACUGAUUGUCUUGAGUAUGGGAGAGGUGUGCGGAACUCCGAGUGUAGAGGUGAAAUUCGUAGAUAUUCGGAAGAACACCAGUGGCGAAGGCGGCACACUGGCCCAUUACUGACGCUGAGGCUCGAAAGCGUGGGGAGCAAACAGG
Molecule: ribosomal RNA, 253 nt
Filed under: uncultured bacterium
Lineage: Bacteria
Description: partial 16S ribosomal RNA
Rfam family: Bacterial small subunit ribosomal RNA
Source: RNAcentral